GACGAACGCUGGCGGCGUGCCUAAUACAUGCAAGUAGAGCGCAGUUGCGGACGGGUGAGUAACGCGUAGGUAACUGCCUCAUAGCGGGGGAUAACUAUUGCAAACGUUACCUAAUACCGCAUACUGUGAGAUGUGCCUGUGUUGUAUUAGCUAGUUGGUGAGGUAAAGGCCCACCAAGGCUACGAUACAUAACCGGCCUGAGAGGGAGGUCGGCCAAAACUGGACUGGGAAACGGCCCCGAAUCCUACGGGGAGGAGCAGUAGGGAAAUAUUGGCAAUGGACGGAAGUCUGAACGAGCAAAGCCGCGUGAUUGAAGAAGGUUUUCGGAUCGUAAAGCUACGUUGUUAGAGAAGCGGUAACUAAAGAGAAAGGGCCGGCUAACUACGUGCCAGCAGCCGCGGUAAUAC
Molecule: ribosomal RNA, 407 nt
Filed under: uncultured bacterium
Lineage: Bacteria
Description: partial 16S ribosomal RNA
Rfam family: Bacterial small subunit ribosomal RNA
Source: RNAcentral